AUGGCGCGCUUGUUUCUUCCUCCCGUCCUGCUGGCCUUCUCCCUGGCCGCCGCUACCCUCAUCCUGAACGUCGGCGUCGCGGAGGCAUUUUCGUGGCAGCGGCAAGGGUGGCGCCACGUCUUCCGCGGCCGCUACGGCCGCCGCCACCGCAUCUCGUCGAUCGUGACGGAGACGAUGUUCUCGAGCAUGUUCCUGCACAAGGACAACGACGACUGCCCCGCCAAGGGAUUCUACACCUACUCCUCCUUCGUCAGCGCAGCGGAGUGGUUCCGGGAGUUCGGCAGCGGCGCCCACCACGUCGACUCGGACACGCGCAAGCGCGAGGUCGCCGCCUUCCUGGCGCAGAUCUCCCAUGAGACCACCGGCGGGUGGGCGACGGCGCCCGACGGGCCGUACUCGUGGGGCCUCUGCUUCAAGGAAGAGAUCAAUGCGUCCAGCAACUACUGCGACGCUGACAACAAGGAGUGGCCCUGCGUCCCCGGUAAAUCCUACCACGGCCGCGGACCCAUGCAACUCUCCUGGAACUACAACUACGGGCCGGCGGGGGAGGCGCUGUGCUUCGACGGGCCGGGGAACCCGGAGCUCGUGGCGAGCGAUCCGGUAUUGGCGUUCAAGGCGGCGCUGUGGUUCUGGAUGACGCCGCAGGAGCCCAAGCCGUCGUGCCACGACGUGAUGCUGGGGCGGUACGUGCCCACCGACGCCGACAGGCAGGCGAACCGAACGGCGGGGUUCGGGCUCACCACCAACAUCAUCAACGGCGGGCUCGAGUGCAACCUCCCUGCCGAUUCGAGGGUGAAGGAUAGGAUCGGGUACUACCGCCGGUACUGUGAGAUCCUCAAGGUCGACGACCUUGGGGACAACUUGGACUGCGCUCAACAGCUGCCCUACUCGUAA
RNAcentral lists this ribosomal RNA (894 nucleotides) under Triticum aestivum (bread wheat). Its description in RNAcentral is "partial small subunit ribosomal RNA". The record is from RNAcentral. Lineage: Eukaryota; Viridiplantae; Streptophyta; Magnoliopsida; Poales; Poaceae.